AGCGCCGCGGCGAGGCGAGCGGCGGGGGUGGAGGCGGCGGCGGCGAGGCAGGGCGGCGCAGGGGCGGGCGCGAGCGGCCGCUGGGUGCUCUCUCUCUCUCUCUCCAGUCGCUCUCUCUCCCCGGAUGCCGCCCAGCCACAGCGAGCGCCACCGUCGUCCGGGGCAGCGCGUAGUCCGCGCCGCGGAACAUAGUCGCCUCACUCUCCGCGACGACCCUCGCCGCCCCCAUGGGCCUCUCCCCCGCCGAGGGGAAGCCGGCCUGGACAGACGAACGGUCCGCGGCAGGCAGGCGGCAGGCGGCGCGAGACAAGGGGAAGGAGGAGCCCGUCACCCUGCCUCCGCUCCCUCCGGCUGCCGUCCUCGGAUCCUCGCCUGCCGCCCGCACCCGCCUCCGCCCUCGCCGGCGGCCGUCGUCGGCUCCUCACCCGCCGCCUGCGGCCGCCUCCACGUCCGCCCUCCGCCCUCGGCCGCAUACUCAGAACUCGGAACUCACCAGUGCAUGCACUUGUUCGAUCUGCUUGAUUCACAUGCUCCUUGCUCAAUUUGGGUUCCAUUAGUUGAUCAAACACCUGAGAAAUUUAUGGAUUUACUAACGAAUUCGUAUGAUCUUUUGUGAAUUGUGAUAAUGUUCUUUCGAUCAGGAAGCUGGCAAUGCAUUAAGAUGCCGGCGUUCAUGGGAUGCGAGAGCGUCGAGAUCGAGGUCGGCUUCUCGACAGCGCCGGCGGAGAACUACGGCGGCGGCGGCGGCGGCUUGCAGGCGAGCGUGGAGCAGGUCUUCUCCGAGGACUUCUUCCAGCCCGGCCGACGGCGCCUCCACGUCGCUGCUCCGCACGCUGACGCCCAUGAUGGCCUCGUCGUCCGCCACGCCAUCGCCUCGAGAACUCGCGGCGCAAGUGGCGACGACGACGACGUCGUCGUCCUGGCUCCAUCCGCGCCCGCCGGCGCCGCACCACUUGUCGCCGUUCUCUCGCCACGGCGGCGUCGGCGGCCUCCACUUCCCGAGCGCCGAGGCCCGCCGAUUGCUAGAGAGAGAGAGAGGCAGAGAAGGAGAGAAAAAAAAAAGAUGACAGGUGGGCCCACCGGUUUUAUUUGUUUUUGCUGACUGUAUCGCCACGUGUGUGCCACGUAGGCUGAAAACCGCUUAGAAUCGAGUUAGGGUGAUAAUUUAUCUGGUUUUAAGAGUUUGGGUGUUAAAUGUCCGGUAUUGUAGUUUAUGAGGGUAAAUCGUACUACCGCAAUAGUUCAGGGGGUAAUUCGUACUAAUAGUCUAAUGAUCUAAUUUAAAAUUA
This is a long non-coding RNA of Oryza sativa Japonica Group (Japanese rice), 1289 nucleotides long. RefSeq lists it as uncharacterized. The record is from RefSeq and is a predicted model, not a curated record. NCBI's taxonomy places the organism in Eukaryota, Viridiplantae, Streptophyta, Magnoliopsida, Poales, Poaceae.